UACGGGGGGGGCAAGCGUUGUUCGGAAUUACUGGGCGUAAAGGGCUCGUAGGCGGCCAACUAAGUCAGACGUGAAAUCCCUCGGCUUAACCGGGGAACUGCGUCUGAUACUGGAUGGCUUGAGGUUGGGAGAGGGAUGCGGAAUUCCAGGUGUAGCGGUGAAAUGCGUAGAGAUCCGGAGGAACACCAGCGGCGAAGGCGGCAUCCUGGACUGGUCCUGACACUCAGGAGCGAAAGCGUGGGGAGCGAUCCGG
Molecule: ribosomal RNA, 253 nt
Filed under: uncultured bacterium
Lineage: Bacteria
Description: partial 16S ribosomal RNA
Rfam family: Bacterial small subunit ribosomal RNA
Source: RNAcentral